RNAcentral lists this transfer RNA (85 nucleotides) under Felis catus (domestic cat). It matches the Rfam family "tRNA". Rfam says of the family: Transfer RNA (tRNA) molecules are approximately 80 nucleotides in length. Their secondary structure includes four short double-helical elements and three loops (D, anti-codon, and T loops). Lineage: Eukaryota; Metazoa; Chordata; Mammalia; Carnivora; Felidae. The record is from Rfam by way of RNAcentral.
GCCUGGGUGGCUCAGUCGGUUGAGCGUCUGACUUUGGCUCAGGUCAUGAUCUCACGGCUCGUGGAUUCAAGCCCCACGUCAGGCU